AUGAGCAAGCCAUCAUGGAAGGAUACAUUAAUUGGUGAAUCUGAGUAUGUCGAUGAUCACAGGUCUGGUAUGACAGUUGUGAAGCUGAAUGGAAGAUUGUACAAGUGUGGUCUCAUCAGUCCACGCUUGGACUUUGGAGAUCGAGUCCUAGACUGCAAGGCUGCUCCCCUCACCCAGCCGCGUGUCAGUUCGUUCUUGCCCGAGUCCUGGGGUGGAGGGAGUAGGCAUGUCAAGCAGGGCAGGCCAUGGGGGCGGCAGCAGCGGUCCAUGCCAGCAAGACAGUUGUCGGAUGGUGUUCUGGACUACGCCCAAGUAGCCAGCAGUGACAACUCUGAAAAGACACCGACAGUCCAUCUGUCAGCGACCUUCGUGCUCUAUGGCUUGACUGGUGAUUUGCCCUACCUCACUGCCGCUCCCUGCACAUCCCGGCAGGUGAUCCGAUCGGUGUCAGCGACAACUCUGAAAAGACAUCACUCACAUAGGCGCAGGAGCUUCAGCUGUGCAGGACAUCGAUUUGCCCAUUGUGCCGCCCACAAGCUUCUUGAUGUCUCAAGCAUCCAUGACGCAUUCCAUGGCGCCUACGAGCUGUUCGAUCAAAUGCUGCACCGCCACCGGUUGCCACCAUCUGAUCGUGCAAUCAUGGUGUGA
Molecule: ribosomal RNA, 648 nt
Filed under: Triticum aestivum (bread wheat)
Lineage: Eukaryota; Viridiplantae; Streptophyta; Magnoliopsida; Poales; Poaceae
Description: partial small subunit ribosomal RNA
Source: RNAcentral